UAGGGAAUCUUCCACAAUGGACGAAAGUCUGAUGGAGCAACGCCGCGUGAGUGAAGAAGGUUCUCGGAUCGUAAAACUCUGUUGUGAGGGAAGAACAAGUACCGGAGUAACUGCCGGUACCUUGACGGUACCUCAUUAGAAAGCCACGGCUAACUACGUGCCAGCAGCCGCGGUAAUACGUAGGUGGCAAGCGUUGUCCGGAAUCAUUGGGCGUAAAGCGCGCGCAGGCGGUCCCUUAAGUCUGAUGUGAAAGCCCACGGCUCAACCGUGGAGGGUCAUUGGAAACUGGGGGACUUGAGUGCAGAAGAGGAAAGCGGAAUUCCAAGUGUAGCGGUGAAAUGCGUAGAGAUUUGGAGGAACACCAGUGGCGAAGGCGGCUUUCUGGUCUGUAACUGACGCUGAGGCGCGAAAGCGUGGGGAGCAAACA
RNAcentral lists this ribosomal RNA (427 nucleotides) under uncultured bacterium. Its description in RNAcentral is "partial 16S ribosomal RNA". It matches the Rfam family "Bacterial small subunit ribosomal RNA", at positions 355 to 774 of the family's 1533-position model. The record is from RNAcentral. RNAcentral also lists the same sequence under 1 other name.